RNAcentral lists this unclassified non-coding RNA (338 nucleotides) under soil metagenome. RNAcentral's name for it is "partial contains 5.8S ribosomal RNA, internal transcribed spacer 2, and large subunit ribosomal RNA". The stretch from base 1 to 120 matches the Rfam family "5.8S ribosomal RNA", at positions 35 to 154 of the family's 154-position model. The record is from RNAcentral.
GAUGAAGAACGCAGCGAAAUGCGAUAAGUAAUGUGAAUUGCAGAAUUCAGUGAAUCAUCGAAUCUUUGAACGCACAUUGCGCCCGCCAGUAUUCUGGCGGGCAUGCCUGUCUGAGCGUCAUUUCAACCCUCAAGCAAGUUCUGCUUGGUGUUGGGGAUCGGCCGUUAAACGCCGCCCCCGAAAUCUAUUGGCGAUCUCGCUGUAGCUUCCUAUGCGUAGUAGUAACAUCUCGCAUCUGGAGAGCGGCGCGGUCAUGCCGUAAAACACCCAACUUCUCAGGUUGACCUCAGAUCAGGUAGGAAUACCCGCUGAACUUAAGCAUAUCAAUAAGCGGAGGA